This is a long non-coding RNA of Xiphophorus hellerii (green swordtail), 912 nucleotides long. RefSeq lists it as uncharacterized. Lineage: Eukaryota; Metazoa; Chordata; Actinopteri; Cyprinodontiformes; Poeciliidae. The record is from RefSeq and is a predicted model, not a curated record. The transcript is spliced from 2 exons.
AUCACAGCUCAGCCUCACUGCUUCAAAGACGAACAAUUCACACCUUCAGUUCCUGCAGUAUCCACACGAACUGGAAGAAUAAAACCAAAGAAGUUCAUCACCUUUUUAUCAUUCACGUGUGCAUGGUAUCAUUUGCUCACGGACGGUGUUAAUUACACAGAAUGCAUGUGAAGCGUUUCUACAAGCCAUUAUGUGGAAAUGACAUAAUUGGCCUGAGUGGAUGUCAUUUGAUCUCACGCUUCUUUGUCGUCUAUUUAUAUCCUUUUCUUUAAGCUUCAGUCGAAGGCGCGACCGCCUCAUGCAGGCUGUUGCUAAGAGACAGCUUCAUCGUUUGUUGCCAAGGGUUUCAAUCAUCUAAUUACCAUGGCAAUGGGUUGAUUGAAAUAGCACUGACUAGUAGGGGUGGGCGAUAUGGACUUUAAGUUUUAUCAUGAUAUUUUAAAGUACUAUUGCAAUAAUGAUAAAAGUAACGAUAAGAAAUAUUUACUUGUUGUUAGGUAACAGUUUGACUGCAUGGACAGAUCUAGAAAAACAUUUGAUCUGUGUGAACUGCACACAGUAACUGCAUUUAAUUUUAUUUUCAAAUGUUUUGGUAUUUAUUGAAACUUUUAGUGAACAUCGGAGAAAAUAGUAAAAAUAACAAUCCUGACAUUAGUUACAGGUUUCUUUAAACAUCAGUAAUUGGAGUUUAUUGUGACAAUAAAAGUCAAAAUUCAUAUAAGAAAUUUAUCACAAUAAAUGAUAAAUGAUGUCAGUGCUCACCUGUACUGACCAACACUUCAGUUACCAAACGGUUGCCGGGUAGAAUCAGAAUCAUUAUUUAUACUAAAUAUUUUGUUUACAUGUUUGACAUGACUUUUUUCAGGUUGAGUCUCUGAAUGGACAAAAGAAUAAAAUAAUAGAUUAACAGCA